CAGGGUUCUGAGUUGGGCCAACCCUCUCGGGCAGGGCCCAGGGCAGUGUCUCCUUGGGGUGGUGCCCCCAAUGCCCACAGGGAGGCAGGGCCACAGUGAGUCAUAGGGGCACGACAGCUCUGUCACUUGAAAGGCUCAGGGAGCAGCUCUGCUCUCCUUGUCUCUCCACCCCCUACUUCUGCAGUCCUCAUCCCAUCUAGUCUGAAGCAGGGCCGAACUGGGCUCCAGCGUGUCUGUCUUGAGCUGCAGAAACUUGACUCUGUGACUGGGACAGACAGUGCUGUCAAGAUAAAGCUUCCAAGGAUACAGCCUCUCCAGCACCUUAAAUUUAUCCAACAGACUUCUGCCAGUCUGUCUGAUAUAACAGAGCUCCAGGAAGCAACAACAACAAAAAAAGGGGAGUCUGUUGCCAUCACCCCCAUCCCAACCAGGCUCAGGAAAUUUUCCAGGGCCAGGCUGCCUUUGUGGAAGCUAUGUAAGGACUGGAGAAACACGUGUUCUCAUGCAAACAAACCCCAAAACAAAACAAGAGAUGCUGCCUUUGGACUGGACUUUGUCCAGCCUGGAGUCACAGUGCCAGUCAAGAGCCCCUCCAGAAUACUUGCACCUGGAUCUUCACUAGGGGUAAGUCCUUGUUCUUGAUUCUAAAUAUUUAUUUAACCAACAAAGCGCUCUAUUAAUUCCAGUUGAAGGGCAGAUGCAGAGACAGUGUUCUAGUUGCUAACGCUGUGUGAGAAAGCACCCCAGAAGGUCGUAGGUGAAACAACUAUCUUAAGAUGCCAGCUGAUCGGGGCUGGGGAAUUUGGAAGGGCCAAAGCAAGGGUGGCUUGUCCCUGCUCUAUGGUUCUUAGAUAACUCAGAGGGCUGGGGGCUGAGAGAGUGAAGGAAGGAGGACACACUUCCAGAUGGCUUGUUCAUGCACGUGGUUAUGCACCGGGCAGGAACAGGGAUGGCCAGAGGAACAAGCUCAAACUGGCAGCUAAAGAGCCCGGAGGGGCAGCCCUUAGGGGAGGCGGUACCCACUGCCUGCCUUAUAGACCCUGUCCCUACCAUCACCUUGACUUGCUUUCUACUAUCUGUCAUUGGUGGGAGCAGUCCCUAGCAGUCCCAGAUUCAAGGGAGGGGUAUAGACCUCACCUCCCAAGGUGGAGUCAGUAACAAGGAACUGUGGGCCACAUUUAAAACCAUGACAGGCUAGUGAAUGGCUUUUGGGGAGAUUUAUGGGUGAAGGCAGGAGGAGAGUUGUGGAGAAGCCCAGAUUCAGUCAUUCUAAGCAUUCGUCACAAACGGAUCUAUCAUCUGGGUUUCAAAUACAGCUCUCAGAUGACUGCUCUUCAUGAGGCUGGGCACAGUGGCUCAUGCCUAUAAUCCCAGCACUUUGAGAAAUUGAGGUGGAUGGAUCAGCUGAGGUCAGGAGUUCGAGACCAGCCUGGCAAAAAUGGUGAAAUCCCAUCUCUACUAAAAAUACAAAAAUUAGCUGGGUGUGGUGGUGCACACCUGUAAUCCCAGCUACUUAGGAGGCUGAGGCAGGAGAAUUGCUUAAACCCAGGAGACAGAGGUUGCAGUCAGCUGAGAUUGCCACCACUGCACUCCAGCCUGGGUGACAGAGUGAGACUCCAUCUCAGAAAAACAAAACAAAAAACCAAACAAACAAACAAAAGCAAAGACUGCCCUGCGUUUCCUUGCAGCUGGCCAGAGCGGAAUGCAGUGUUCUCAGGACUGCGAAGCUGGGUCACCCACACCUGGUUGGACUUGAUAAGUGUCGUAACCUAACGAAGGGUGCCAUUCUGUACUCUCCAGUGCCUGGGGGAGCCCCAGUGGGAACGGAUCCAGAUGGUGCUGGGCCUGGGCCAACAGUGAAAUGGGGGAGGAUGGGUCCUUUCUCUCCUUUGUCCCUAACCUCCCCACUUCCUACUGCUGUCUGACUCAGAACUCUCAUGAAAAACCCAACUUCUUACACUGAUAUUUCCCAGAGGCCUAAUUGUGCAACAAGAAAUAAAAACACAAUUAGAGAACUGAGGUCCAGCAGGAAAUUCACAUUACAUAAAUAAGACCUGGAGCGUGUAGGGGAGCGCCCCAACUCCCAGCCUUGUUAGUACUGAAGGCUGCGAGCACACAGCUCAGGGAUCCUCUGAUUUGGUGGAUAACCCUUGUGAACAAUAGUUCUCUGAAAAGGGAUUUAGAGGAAAGAGACUUUAUUCCUGUAAACAGUUUUCAAACUAGGGAAAGGCAGCCUUCGGUGUAAAAUGAAGGUGCUUUCCAGACAACAAAGGAGGGGCUGGGCUUUUAUAGAGAAAGUUCCUGCCCAUGUUUCCACUCAGGUCCACUUAUGCAAAUAAAAGAUUCAAACUUGCUUAAUCUGAUUGGUUGAUGCUUGCUGAGUUCUGAUUUGUUGACACAGGUCAUAGUCUAUUGGUUGGUUUGGGCAACAUAAACAGGAACAGGAAGCUAUGAAAGUCUCAAAGUUAAGCAGAUGUGGGUUUUUCCGGCAACUCAAAAUACACGCGUGACUUCUAGUCAGCAAGUUGCCGCUUGGCUCUAAAUUGAAUUUAAGCCCCGUUAGCCAGAGUGUGAACCUUGAGAGAGCCGGCCUUUCAAGGUUCACACUCUUCACAUGGGCUGGAGAUAUUCCUAUCAUGACUGAUUUUUCCAUUCAUCCAUUGACAGACACUUGGAUUGCUUCCACCUUUAGGGUGUUGUGGAUAACACCAACAUUCCUACAAACAUGGGUGUACAAGAGGCUAAUUCUCCUCAACCAUGGUUUAUGUAGCUAGAGGGAAAAUGCCAAAAGCUGCAUUAUGAGAAACAGUAAAGUCAAAACUGGAAAGAUGGAUCAAAGCGUGGUGUCUCCCUGAAACUCCUCCUACUAGGCUUGAGGUGAAGGAGAAGCACAGGAAGAAAAGUGCCUCAGUGCUCCAACAACUUUUUCCAAAGAAACCCUCUUUCUCAUUUCCAACUUUAAACCUUUUAAAGCUUUGACUGGCAUAGAGCUAAGGGUUAGAAAACAUCAUCACUUCCCUCCUUUGCAAGUCUGUGUGGAUAGUUGUAUGUUAUCCCCAAAGGUGGCCACCAUCAUUUCCUUCUCUCCCUAUAUGUGAUUUCCUUCUCUAUUGGCUUCAUUCAUCAAGAAGUAGAGGCGAUUCCUGCUCUUCCUCUUUGAGCUUGGGCUAGCCCUGUGAUUUGCCUUCACCAGUUGGACAUGGAGGAAGUGAUACGGUGCCGGUGCUUAGCCUGGCCUUUGAGAGACCUGACAUCUUCGGCUCUCUCUCAGGAGAGAAUGCAGCAGGCAUGUAAGAAGGCUGAUGAAUCAGACCACCAUAUUAUGAGGAAGGCCAAGCUAGCCGCAUGGAAAGGGCACACAGAGAGCGGAGGAACCAAACCAACAGAAGCCUGAAGUCCCCAGCCAUACGACCCAGGUAAGCCACCUUAGCUGGUUCCCUGCUAUGUGGUAUUCCAGGUAAAGUCCCAGACUUUAGUCAUGAAGGUGAGCCAUUUCCUCUGUGCCCUGUACAAAUUUCGGAGCCAAAGAAUUUUGAGAAAAUAAAAGAUCUAUUUUAUGCUGUAAAGUUUUGGUGCAUCUUGUUAUGCAGCAAUAGAAAACCUAGAGCAGUGGUCUAGCACUUCAUUUUGGAAUGUGGGAAUACUUAGUUUACUGUUUUAUUCUUAGCCUUUUGAAACCUCAGCAGAAAAUAAGACAAAUAAAAUCCCAUUUUAACAUCCUGCUACAUACAUUUCAAGAUCAUCUGUGAAAAUGUAGAUGUGAUGCUUUGUUGACCUUUAGCACCCUGUCUUAAAAGACACUAUCAUCGGGCAGAAGCCUCUACAAACAGAAUCUUUACAAUCAGCAACAGGCUGGCUCCUGACACUUCGGGGGCUCAGGCAAGAAUACAAACAGAGACCUACAUACCACAUGUCUAGAUACUUAAAGGCUGUAAAUCAAGCCAACAACCUAUUAAAUAAAAUAUGCUGUAGCUUGCUGCUUUGAAAAAAAUACUGUCAUGAUGAUCUUGAAGUCCAAGUUCAAAUUUAGAAUUCUCAACUGU
Macaca mulatta (Rhesus monkey) is the source of this 4043-nucleotide long non-coding RNA. The record is from Ensembl. NCBI's taxonomy places the organism in Eukaryota, Metazoa, Chordata, Mammalia, Primates, Cercopithecidae.